Long non-coding RNA from Carassius carassius (crucian carp), 635 nucleotides. RefSeq lists it as uncharacterized. Lineage: Eukaryota; Metazoa; Chordata; Actinopteri; Cypriniformes; Cyprinidae. The record is from RefSeq and is a predicted model, not a curated record. The transcript has 3 exons.
CUUGUCAUAAACCACAUGUAGUUAGGUGCAAUAAAAAAAAGUGUUAAGCUCUUUGUGGCUUGUCAUGUCUUUGUGACUCUCAAACCUGUAACAGUUAGCAGGAUCUGAUCCAGCCGUCCUUGAUUUCUCCUGCCUUCAGACAUUUUUCACAACAUGUCAGGCGAAUGAACAAGCUUCUCUGAAGUUUGUUGGAAUUGGACACUGGGGUGGACUUCCUAUAUUCCCCUACAACACGCCACAUGAGUUUGGCACGGCCAAUGAACUAGGCAGAAUCGCUAAGGGCUCAGGUCUGGACUUUGUCCUCAGUCUUGGAGAUCAUUUCUACUUCAGAGGGAUCAGGGAUAUAGAUGACACCCGGUUUAAGUUUUAAUGAAGGGCUAUUCUUCAGUCUUCCUAUGAGAGUGUUUUCUCUCACCCCGCGCUGAUGGACGUGUCGUGGUACCUGGUAGCAGGAAACCAUGAUCACCGUGGAAACAUAUCAGCCCAGAUCGCUUACUCAAACAGAUCGGAAAGAUGGUGAGUGAGGUCAAAGGUCAAGCUCUGUGUAUUAAAGAAUGUAAACAUGGGCAUUCAUUCGUUCACGACCACAGUGUACUGCUGUUAAUGUUUGGCAGGAUCUACCCAGAACUCUACUA